GGAGGUUUUAGCUUAAUUAAAGUGUCUGGUUUGCAGUCAGAGGAUGUAUUUUAUAGUACUACAAACCUU
RNAcentral lists this transfer RNA (69 nucleotides) under Hemiphyllodactylus tonywhitteni. RNAcentral's name for it is "tRNA-Ala". It matches the Rfam family "tRNA". Rfam says of the family: Transfer RNA (tRNA) molecules are approximately 80 nucleotides in length. Lineage: Eukaryota; Metazoa; Chordata; Lepidosauria; Squamata; Gekkonidae. The record is from RNAcentral.